Molecule: ribosomal RNA, 406 nt
Filed under: uncultured bacterium
Lineage: Bacteria
Description: partial 16S ribosomal RNA
Rfam family: Bacterial small subunit ribosomal RNA
Source: RNAcentral
AUUGAACGCUGGCGGCAGGCCUAACACAUGCAAGUCGAACGAGUGGCGGACGGGUGAGUAAUGUCUGGGAACGUGCCCGAUGGAGGGGGAUAACUACUGGAAACGGUCGCUAAUACCGCAUAUCAUCGGAUGGUCCCAGGUGGGAUUAGCUGGGUGGGGGGGUAACGGCUCACCUAGGCGACGAUCCCUAGCUGGUCUGAGAGGAUGAACAGCCACACUGGGACUGAGACACGGCCCAGACGCCUACGGGAGGCAGCAGUGGGGAAUAUUGCACAAUGGGCGCAAGCCUGAUCCAGCCAUGCCGCGUGUAUGAAGAAGGCCUUCGGGUUGUAAAGUACUUUCGGCGGGGAGGCGUUACUCGAAGAAGAAGCACCGGCUAACUCCGUGCCAGCAGCCGCGGUAAUAC